Molecule: long non-coding RNA, 537 nt
Filed under: Homo sapiens (human)
Lineage: Eukaryota; Metazoa; Chordata; Mammalia; Primates; Hominidae
Description: non-protein coding lnc-PHGDH-1:1
Source: RNAcentral
UGGCAAUGGUGGAGACAUGGAAUUUUUGCAAAAAAAAUGGGGUAGAGGAAAAUAAGACAUCUGUGUGAGUAUAUAACCAUUUGAUCUCUUUUUUUAGCCCUCUCCAGGGUCACCCUAGAAUCAGAUCUGCUCCCCAGCAUCUUCUGUUUCCUGGAGUGUGUUGUCUGCUACUUUGGAUUGGCCAUGACAGGCUGGAGCUGCCUUGUGACAGGAGCAGGAGGGUUUCUGGGUUAGAGUAUCAUCCGCCUCUUGGUGGAGGAGAAGGAGCUGAAGGAGAUCAGGGCCUUGGACAAGGCCUUCAGACCGGAAUUGAGGAAGGAAUUUUCUGAAAUUGCAGAAUUUGCUGUAGCAACUUCUUGUGCAAAUAACUCCAUGAGGAAAGUAGAAAAGGAGUCAUAUCCAACUGGACAAUGAACUAUCAAGAUCCAGAAACAUAAAACAACUUGCUAAGACCAUCUGGUUAAUGUGUAGCAGACCUCAGACCAGAGCUUCAUCCAGAAGCAUCAUCACUUUACUCUGGAGCUGAUCCUUGGCAAA